Molecule: ribosomal RNA, 548 nt
Filed under: uncultured bacterium
Lineage: Bacteria
Description: bacterial SSU rRNA
Rfam family: Bacterial small subunit ribosomal RNA
Source: RNAcentral
AGUAAAUAGAUACCCCGGUAGUCCACGCCCUAAACGAUGUCAACUAGGUGUUGGGUGGGUAAAACCAUUUAGUACCGGAGCUGACGCGUGAAAGUUGACCGCCUGGGGAGUACGGCCGCAAGGUUAAAACUCAAAGGAAUUGACGGGGACCCGCACAAGCGGUGGAUGAUGUGGAUUAAUUCGAUGCAACGCGAAAAACCUUACCUACCCUUGACAUGCCAGGAACUUGCCAGAGAUGGCUUGGUGCCCGAAAGGGAGCCUGGACACAGGUGCUGCAUGGCUGUCGUCAGCUCGUGUCGUGAGAUGUUGGGUUAAGUCCCGCAACGAGCGCAACCCUUGUCGUUAAUUGCCAUCAUUUGGUUGGGCACUUUAACGAGACUGCCGGUGACAAACCGGAGGAAGGUGGGGAUGACGUCAAGUCCUCAUGGCCCUUAUGGGUAGGGCUUCACACGUCAUACAAUGGUCGGUACAGAGGGUUGCCAAGCCGCGAGGCGGAGCCAAUCCCAGAAAGCCGAUCGUAGUCCGGAUCGUAGGCUGCAACUCGCCUG